GAUCACAAGCAACAGGUUGAAGUUAUAGUGGUGAUGAGUGAAAUCACAUUUUCCCUACAGUGACAUGUUUUCCAACUGAAUUUACUUCUUUUAUCAAGUUCAGUUCCAAUCUACUCAGUAGUCCCUUAUUCUGUUCGAUUCGUCUCCUCUUCUAUAUAUAGUUGGUACUAAAUUGGUCCAGAUGUGAGACUGACAUUUUUAGAAGUGCCAUAAAUGAAUAUUAAGGCUUUCAUUUACCAACUGGACUAGCCUGAGUUCAAGUGCUCUAAACACAGCCCAACCCAAUUGGUAGUAUUUGCUGGGAAGCCAGUGUGGGAUCAUAAGCAACAAGUUGAAGGGGUGGUGGAGUUGGAGGUUGUUUUCUGGGUGCGUAUCAGGUAAAAAGACCGGCAGACCACAUCCUCCCUGAGAUAACAGUGCAAGUUAGCCGUGACAAGAGGCACCAUGUGAGGAACGCUGGGAAAACUGACCACUCCCACCGGAAUGAAAAAUGAAACAAUGCGGAAAAAAUACAGUCGCUGAAAAGAGCACUGUGUCCAUCCAAACGCAGAGACAACAAUGGAGUCAAACAGAAAACUUCCAGUAAAACGGCUGAGAGAUGGACACUGAACAAGCUCUGCGUCUACUUCCAAUGAGUCAACCCAUUGUGAGGCAUACAGAACACAAGUAGAGUUCCCAGUGAAUCAGAGCAGUCAGCUGCCAUCCACCACCUCAAGGCACAGGGUCAGCAUAGCACAGAACUGCAGACAUGUGACCUGCUGGGUCACACAGCCACAGUUACUGUUCCGGCACACAGAUAUUAACUGUCAGCUCUCAGAUAGGUUUUCCAGACCCUCCAAAACAUGUUCGAGCAGGUUUUCUCAGUUUAUUCAGCUCGGAUGGAUAAUAUACUGCUAUGAUAUAGGGACAGAGGGAGCAGGUGUUUGUAAAUCUAUAGAUAACCAUGACUUGUGAUUUACAGCCUGCUGUCAGGAGGGCGCAGUGACAUCAAUACUGCUGCGGGAGUUUGUCUGAGGCCUAGCUGAGGACACCAAAAUAUCUCUCCACUUCAACCUCCCCCCCCCUCCACUGACAGCGAUACACGAAAUUACACGUGCAGCUGUCUAAAUAUUACUUCUCCCUUCUUCUCCUCUUCAUCUUGCCAUUCCUCUGCUCCUCCUUCCUGCCUUUUCUGUCCCUGUGCAGCCGCUGAGCCGAGCCGGGAUGAGUUUAGGAGGGACAAAUGUUCAACCGGCACAACUGGGGACGUCCACAUUUGGUGCAACGUUGUCAUGUCAACAGUCCAAAGCAGAUCGGCCCGACAGGCUGGGAAUAACUCACCUUCUGGCGUCCAGCUUGCGGCUAUAACCGGCCACACACCCGUGGACAGGCGGCUCGGGUCAUCAGCAGCAGCAGAGAGCACCAGGACAGCUCCGACUGUGCUCCCUGACCCCGGACCUCCAGCUCCUACAUCAGUGGGACAGACUUACAAGAUUCCUGGGUGGCAGCUAAAGGAGGCUAUCACCAAAAAUAAAGAGAUGCUUUCUUGA
Long non-coding RNA from Amphiprion ocellaris (clown anemonefish), 1529 nucleotides. RefSeq lists it as uncharacterized. The transcript has 2 exons. NCBI's taxonomy places the organism in Eukaryota, Metazoa, Chordata, Actinopteri, Pomacentridae. The record is from RefSeq and is a predicted model, not a curated record.